GUAUUUUAACUGUGCAAAGGUAGCAUAAUCAUUAGUCUUUUAAUUGAAGGCUGGAAUGAAUGGUUGAAUGAAAUAUUAACUGUUUCAUAUAAAUUAAAAAUAGAAUUUUAUUUUUUAGUUAAAAAGCUAAAAUUUAUUUAAAAGACGAGAAGACCCUAUAAAUCUUUAUAUUUAUUUUUUUAAUUAUUAUAUUGAUAAUUUAAAUUUUUAUAAAAUUAAAUAUUUUAUUGGGGUGAUAUUAAAAUUUAAAUAACUUUUAAUUAAAAUUUUACAAAAAUUAUUGAAUUUUUGAUCCAUAAAUAAUGAUUAAAAAAUUAAGUUACUUUAGGGAUAACAGCGUAAUUUUUUUAGAGAGUUCAUACU
RNAcentral lists this ribosomal RNA (363 nucleotides) under Melaloncha biseta. RNAcentral describes it as "partial 16S ribosomal RNA". Lineage: Eukaryota; Metazoa; Arthropoda; Insecta; Diptera; Phoridae. The record is from RNAcentral.